Molecule: ribosomal RNA, 428 nt
Filed under: uncultured bacterium
Lineage: Bacteria
Description: partial 16S ribosomal RNA
Rfam family: Bacterial small subunit ribosomal RNA
Source: RNAcentral
GUAGGGAAUAUUGCGCAAUGGGGGAAACCCUGACGCAGCGACGCCGCGUGAGUGAUGAAGGCCUUCGGGUCGUAAAGCUCUGUUGCAGGGGAAUAAAAAAAUGAAGGUACCCUGUGAGGAAGGAUCGGCUAACUUCGUGCCAGCAGCCGCGGUAAGACGAGGGAUCCUAGCGUUGCUCGGAAUCAUUGGGCGUAAAGAGGGCGUAGGUGGCUUGGUAAGUCAGGUGUGAAAGCCCAGGGCUCAACCCUGGAAGUGCAUUUGAUACUGCUGAGCUUGAGUGUCGGAGAGGUUACCGGAAUACCUGGUGUAGUGGUGAAAUACGUAGAUAUCAGGUGGAACACCGGCGGCGAAGGCGGGUAACUGGACGAACACUGACACUGAGGCCCGAAAGCGUGGGGAUCAAACAGGAUUAGAUACCCGGGUAGUCC